GAUGAAGAACGUAGUGAAAUGCGAUAAGUAAUGUGAAUUGCAGAAUUCAGUGAAUCAUCGAAUCUUUGAACGCACCUUGCGCCCUUUGGACAUUCCGAAGGGCAUGCCUGUUUGAGUAUCAUGAACACCUCAACUCUCACGGCUUGUCCGUGAUGAGCUUGGACUUUGGGGGUCUUGCCGGCCUGUGGUCGGCUCCUCUCAAAUGGAUCAGCUUGCCAGUGUUUGGUGGCAUCACAGGUGUGAUAACUAUCUGCGCUUGUGGUUUUCCAUCAGAUAACCUUCAGUGAUAUGGAGGUUCGCUGGAGCUCACAAAUGUCUCUCCUUAGUGAGGACAGCUCUUUGAACGUUUGAUCUCAAAUCAGGUAGGACUACCCGCUGAACUUAAGAAUAUCAAUAAGCGGAGGA
This 405-nucleotide unclassified non-coding RNA is filed under the name soil metagenome. RNAcentral's name for it is "partial contains 5.8S ribosomal RNA, internal transcribed spacer 2, and large subunit ribosomal RNA". The stretch from base 1 to 121 matches the Rfam family "5.8S ribosomal RNA", at positions 35 to 154 of the family's 154-position model. The record is from RNAcentral.